GGUAUCAUCUCCCUUUCUCUCUUUUUUUUUCUUUUUGGAUAACUCUAUCUCUCGAAGAUGGGUCAUCGUGCACGUGAAAAUCUAGCAUGGGAAAAAGAUAACAAACAUUUCACUAUAACGGAAGAGGAUAAUGGCUGUUUGAUAGGACAGAAUAUGAUAAAAACCGUUUGAUAGAACGGAAGAUGAUAACGGCUAUUUCAACAAACAGAUUUACGUAGGGCACUGCAGAUUUUUCAAAUGUUGUGGGGCGGG
This 252-nucleotide long non-coding RNA is filed under the name Elaeis guineensis (African oil palm). RNAcentral describes it as "long non-coding RNA (EGUI_LNC069301)". Lineage: Eukaryota; Viridiplantae; Streptophyta; Magnoliopsida; Arecales; Arecaceae. The record is from RNAcentral.